Molecule: transfer RNA, 78 nt
Filed under: Corynebacterium heidelbergense
Lineage: Bacteria; Bacillati; Actinomycetota; Actinomycetes; Mycobacteriales; Corynebacteriaceae
Description: tRNA-Ser
Rfam family: tRNA
About the family: Transfer RNA (tRNA) molecules are approximately 80 nucleotides in length. Their secondary structure includes four short double-helical elements and three loops (D, anti-codon, and T loops). Further hydrogen bonds mediate the characteristic L-shaped molecular structure. tRNAs have two regions of fundamental functional importance: the anti-codon, which is responsible for specific mRNA codon recognition, and the 3' end, to which the tRNAs corresponding amino acid is attached (by aminoacyl-tRNA synthetases). tRNAs cope with the degeneracy of the genetic code in two manners: having more than one tRNA (with a specific anti-codon) for a particular amino acid; and 'wobble' base-pairing, i.e. permitting non-standard base-pairing at the 3rd anti-codon position.
Source: RNAcentral
GCGCUCAUAGCCCAACUGGCAAAGGCAACGGAUUCGAAAUCCGUUCCAUUGCAGGUUCAAAUCCCGCUGAGCGCACGA